GUGGGGUGUGUAAGCGUAGCGAUACGUUGAGCUAACCCAUACUAAUUACCCGUGAGGCUUAACCAUACAACACCCAAGAAGUGUU
Molecule: ribosomal RNA, 85 nt
Filed under: Aeromonas sp. HZM
Lineage: Bacteria; Pseudomonadati; Pseudomonadota; Gammaproteobacteria; Aeromonadales; Aeromonadaceae
Description: partial 23S ribosomal RNA
Source: RNAcentral